RNAcentral lists this long non-coding RNA (437 nucleotides) under Helianthus annuus (common sunflower). RNAcentral describes it as "sRNA HanXRQr2_Chr02g0070581". Lineage: Eukaryota; Viridiplantae; Streptophyta; Magnoliopsida; Asterales; Asteraceae. The record is from RNAcentral.
GGUAAGCUGUACCUGUCAGGUCCCCACAUCACUCCAUGAAUCAUCUUCUAGACAUCUUUCAAGUAGGCCAAAGCCCGAUGUGCCACCAACUUCGUUUAGCCUCUCUCGUUUCUCUGAUAAAUCAUAAAAAUUAGUUUUUUUAAGAAUGGGUGCUUCAUCGAUUUACCCGGUAUAUCCCAUAACUACAUCACUGAAUCUCAUGGCAGGGUCAACAAUCACCUCAAAAUCAUAAUGUGGUUGUCCUUAACGUCAAGCCAAACAUCAGUUGUUCGAUCCGUUGCUGACGGCAACUUCAUAAUAUACGAGUGGCAUCAAUAGCAUCACAACAAUUUUAAAGCCUCUAAUAUUCUCAAAUUUGGAUUUCAUCUGUGUGAAUUCCUCGUAUGUUGUCAGCCAUUGGAGGUGGUGGAGGAGCCCACAUUGUUCAAUUAACAAAC